Molecule: RNA transcript, 2554 nt
Organism: Nicotiana tabacum (common tobacco)
Lineage: Eukaryota; Viridiplantae; Streptophyta; Magnoliopsida; Solanales; Solanaceae
Gene name: CBL-interacting serine/threonine-protein kinase 12
Source: RefSeq, a predicted model, not a curated record
CAAGCUGUUAAAAACCUGAAAAUCAACAUCCGAGGAGCUACCUACAACACCACGACAACCCACAAACAACCAUAGCUCCCUCCCACUUUCCGUGGCGGAAGCUCCUCCACAAACACAACAAUAAGGUGGACUUUACAAAUCCCUUUUCGUAUAUUCCAAUCUUUAACGCAUAAUAAUCCUUUCAAUUGCCCAACCCAUGGCCACCACCAGCAGCAGCUCCAGUAGCAACAGCAAGAAGGAAAAUCAAGUUCUUAUAUUGGGUCGGUACGAAAUUGGGAAAUUACUAGGCCACGGUACAUUUGCAAAAGUGUACCUUGCUAGGAACAUCAAAACCAACGAGUGCGUAGCCAUAAAGGUGAUUGAUAAAGAAAAAAUCCUCAAAGUAGGACUAAUUGCCCACAUAAAACGCGAGAUCUCGAUCCUGAGAAGAGUUAGGCAUCCAAACAUUGUUCAAUUAUACGAAGUUAUGGCAACCAAAGCCAAAAUCUAUUUCGUGAUGGAGUAUGUGAAAGGUGGAGAGUUAUUCAAUAAGGUUGCUAAAGGCAGGCUUAAAGAAGAAGUUGCUCGAAAAUAUUUCCAGCAAUUAAUUUCAGCAGUGGCAUUUUGUCACGCCCGUGGGGUGUACCAUAGAGACUUAAAGCCAGAAAAUAUAUUAUUAGAUGAAGAUGGGAAUGUUAAAGUGUCUGAUUUCGGUCUAAGUGCUAUUUCUGAACAGAUAAAGCAAGACGGGUUGUUCCAUACUUUCUGUGGUACCCCUGCUUAUGUUGCACCUGAGGUUUUGGGUAGGAAAGGAUAUGAUGGGGCUAAAGUUGAUAUUUGGUCAUGUGGGGUCAUACUUUUUGUGUUAAUGGCAGGGUACUUACCAUUUCAUGACCAGAAUGUUAUGGCUAUGUAUAAGAAGAUUUACAAAGGUGAAUUUAGAUGUCCUAGAUGGUUUUCCUCUGAAUUGGCUCGUUUCUUAACUCGACUUCUUGAUACAAAUCCUGAAAGGCGGAUCACAAUUCCGGAGAUAAUGAACAAUAGGUGGUUCAAAAAGGGGUUUAAACAUGUGAAAUUUUAUAUAGAGGAUGACAAGUUAUGUAGCAUAAAUGAUGAUGUGGAUGAUAAAGAAGGAGUUGAUUCUUCGUCUGAGCUGUCAGAGUCAGAGUCUGAAAUGGAGAUAAGAAGGAAGCCGCCUAGUUUGCCUAGGCCUGCUAGUUUGAAUGCAUUUGAUAUCAUUUCAUUUUCGCGUAGUUUUGACUUGUCUGGUUUGUUUGAUGAUGGAGAGGAUGGAGGGAGGUUUAUAUCGGGGGCUCCGGUGCCUAAGAUCAUAAGUAAAUUAGAAGAAAUUGCUAAAGUUGUGAGCUUUGCAGUGAGGAAGAAGGAUUGUAGAGUGAGUUUGGAGGGGUCUAAGGAGGGUGCAAAGGGACCUUUGACUAUUGCAGCUGAGAUAUUUGAGUUGACACCAUCUUUGAGAGUUGUUGAGGUGAAGAAGAAAGCAGGAGACAGAGUGGAGUACGAGGAGUUUUACCAUAAGGAAUUGAAGCCUGGGUUACAAAAUCUGACGCUUGAAGUUGACGGUCCUGUCGAUUCAUCGCAUUUGCCUUCAGAUACUGAGUAGAAAGAAAAAGAAGAGAAAAAGGUUGCACUAGGAAGUUUCUUUCAGCAGUUAACCAAUACCAAUGGCAAGUCUUCUGUGAUGAUCUCCCAAGGUUGUUAGUUGUGAACCUUUAACAACUGGCCAGGGAGAACUCCUAAAUUCCAAAAAAUAACCAUAUGGCAACCUGGAUCCAAUGAGGGCUAAGCAAAGCCAACAAGCCGUAGGCCUCUAGCACUUCAUCACCAUUGAUGUUCUGGGAUCAAGAUUUACCAGGUUCAACUCUGGCCACUGAGAUUCUGGUUCCUUGUCUAAUCGUAUGUAGUCCAUGUACUGGUAGUUGUCGCAUAAGCUAGUUUUGUUCUCUCUUCAUGAUCUAGUUACUUGAUUUUUUUACUUGUAGAUGAGGAAAGAAAUAAAAGCGAAAAACGAAUAGUUCUCAAAAUAAUGUUAUUGGUUACGAAAGCCAUUCUCAGUAAUCCGACAGCAGUCUGUGAGUAAAUAGUAAUUGUGAGGUGAUUUACUUCUUCUUGCUGAAACUGUGUCUUCUAACCUAGUUUCUCAUGCAUGUCAGAUUAAUAGAACCAAUUUGUGGUUAAUUUUUCCAUAAGGGAUAAUGGGGCUGGUGAUAUCUGCUUCCAUAAAUGGCAAUACUAAGACUUGUUUACGUAUUAGUUUAAGAAAAAUAGAUAUUGUUGUCCUGUUGAUGUUUCUUUCUGAAGUUGGUUAAAAAGGGCAGUCCGGUGUACUAAGCUCCUGCUAUGCGCGGGGUCCAGGGAAGGGCCGGACCACAAGAGUGUAUUGUACGCAACCUUACCCUGCUUUUUUACAAGAGGCUGUUUUCACAGCUCGAAUCCGUGACCCCCUGGUCACAUGGCAACAACUUUACCAGUUACACCAACGCUCCCCUUCUAUUUAUGAAGUUGGUUGUUACGUGAAAAACAAAAGCAAGAUACAUUGUACUUUUUUUUUUGCAAA